This 504-nucleotide ribosomal RNA is filed under the name Triticum aestivum (bread wheat). RNAcentral describes it as "partial small subunit ribosomal RNA". Lineage: Eukaryota; Viridiplantae; Streptophyta; Magnoliopsida; Poales; Poaceae. The record is from RNAcentral.
AUGAACGAGAAGCUUCCUGAGUAUUGCCUUGACGAGGAGCUGGAGACGGAGAGGAUCGAGCGAGAGCUGAACCCCACCAGGCAGAUCAUCAACGACAAGGCUGCCCUUACCGUCCUUCGACUCAACGAGUGCCACGAUGAUGCCUUGGGCUACAUCACGCGCCUGCAUGGCGCCAUGGGGAGGAUCGACAAGGAACUGCAGCCCGGCAAGUCCAUUCAGAUGGAUCUGGAGUCGAUGAUGACUCGGCUGAACGGAAUCCCAUCCCGAGUGCAGGCGUGGAAGAAAUCAGCAACCAGGAGUGGUGCAGAUGUGGCCCUAUCACUCAUCCAUGUCCAUUGCAAGGACAUGGACGAGGAGAAGCUGAAGAACCUUCGAGUGAUCAACAAGAAGAAACUCAAGUUCGAGGACUUCAUGGAAACAUUUGCCGAAGCCGGCACGCGCAUUGCAGACGGGAUUGACCUGGAGACCUUCGUCGAGCCAACCAACCCCCAGCCCGAUGCAUGA